Molecule: ribosomal RNA, 496 nt
Filed under: uncultured bacterium
Lineage: Bacteria
Description: partial 16S ribosomal RNA
Rfam family: Bacterial small subunit ribosomal RNA
Source: RNAcentral
GAUGAACGCUGGCGGCGUGCCUAAUACAUGCAAGUCGAGCGAACAGACGAGGAGCUUGCUCCUCUGACGUUAGCGGCGGACGGGUGAGUAACACGUGGAUAACCUACCUAUAAGACUGGGAUAACUUCGGGAAACCGGAGCUAAUACCGGAUAAUAUAUUGAACCGCAUGGUUCAAUAGUGAAAGACGGUUUUGCUGUCACUUAUAGAUGGAUCCGCGCCGCAUUAGCUAGUUGGGAAGGUAACGGCUUACCAAGGCAACGAUGCGUAGCCGACCUGAGAGGGUGAUCGGCCCCACUGGAGCUGAGACACGGUCCAGGCUCCUACGGGAGGCAGCAGUAGGGACUCUUCCGCAAUGGGCGAAAGCUUGACGGAGCAACGCCGCGUGAGUGAUGAAGGUCUUCGGAUCGUAAAACUCUGUUAUUAGGGAAGAACAAAUGUGUAAGUAACUAUGCACGUCUUGACGGUACCUAAUCAGAAAGCCACGGCUAACUACGG